Molecule: long non-coding RNA, 321 nt
Filed under: Mytilus galloprovincialis (Mediterranean mussel)
Lineage: Eukaryota; Metazoa; Mollusca; Bivalvia; Mytilida; Mytilidae
Source: RNAcentral
GGGCAAUAUUUUUGUAGAUUAUAAAAAAAUAGAACUUAUAACUGUGAAUGUUUGGCUGGUGUUAUCAUGAUUCAUAAGUUGUCUAGGAGUUAUAAUCAUGUGCAUACAAAUUGUGAUAGUAUGUUAAAAACAUAUAGGAUUAUGUAUAGGGGUAUAUUUUACAUAUAGUGUUAACAAGGGAGAGGUGAAAGAUACCAAAGGACCAUCAAACUUAUAAAGCCAUUCAAGUUCCUGUUGGCUUAUGACAGGCACUUACCUGACCACAAACAAAUAGAAAUUAAAUUCUGGUUGUUUUUGUCAGGAACAAAACAUUUUUUUUUU